GUCUGAUACGGCUGGUAUAGUGGUCUGAUACGGCUGGUAUAGUGGUCUCACCAUAUGGCUGGUAUAGUGGUCUGAUACGGCUGGUAUAGUGGUCUGAUACGGCUGGUAUAGUGGUCUGAUACGGCUGGUAUAGUGGUCUCACCAUACGGCUGGUAUAGAGGUCUGAUACAGCUGGUAUUGAGGUCUGAUACGGCUGGUAUAGUGGUCUGAUACGGCUGGUAUAGUGGUCUGAUACGGCUGGUAUAGUGGUCUGAUACGGCUGGUAUAGUGGUCUGAUACGGCUGGUAUAGUGGUCUCACCAUACGGCUGGUAUAGUGGUCUGAUACGGCUGGUAUAGUGGUCUGAUACGGCUGGUAUAGUGGUCUGAUACGGCUGGUAUAGUGGUCUGAUACGGCUGGUAUAGUGG
Molecule: long non-coding RNA, 406 nt
Organism: Oncorhynchus tshawytscha (Chinook salmon)
Lineage: Eukaryota; Metazoa; Chordata; Actinopteri; Salmoniformes; Salmonidae
Source: Ensembl